Molecule: ribosomal RNA, 466 nt
Filed under: uncultured bacterium
Lineage: Bacteria
Description: bacterial SSU rRNA
Rfam family: Bacterial small subunit ribosomal RNA
Source: RNAcentral
AUGAACGCUGGCGGCAUGUUUAAGGCAUGCAAGUCGAACGAUGAUUUAUGACUUCGGUUAUUAGAUCAAGUGGCAAACGGGAGAGUAACACAUUGGUAACCUACCUCCAAGACGGGCAUAGCUCACCGAAAGGUGAAUUAACACCCGAUGGUCAUGAGGGGACGCAAGUCAUUCUCAUGUAAAUAAUUUAUUGCUUGGAGAGGGGCCUAUGUCUGAUUAGCUAGUUGGUGGGGUAAUGGCCUACCAAGGCUCUGAUCAGUACCGGGCGUGAGAGCGUGACCCGGCUCACUGGGACUGAGACACUGCCCAGACUCCUACGGGAGGCUGCAGUCAAGAAUCUUCCACAAUGGGCGAAAGCCUGAUGGAGCGAUGCCGCGUGCAGGAAGAAGUCCUUCGGGAUGUAAACUGCUUUUAUUAGGGACGAAUUCGUGACGGUACCUAAUGAAUAAGAGGUUGCUAACUCUGU